Molecule: long non-coding RNA, 540 nt
Filed under: Ricinus communis (castor bean)
Lineage: Eukaryota; Viridiplantae; Streptophyta; Magnoliopsida; Malpighiales; Euphorbiaceae
Description: long non-coding RNA (RCOM_LNC003473)
Source: RNAcentral
UCUAGCAGGCGUCUGUGCUUUUGUUGAGGCUGGACACGGGCUGUUGGUGGAAAUUUGGAUGUUUUUGACGAAGCACUGGUGGCAUGUGGGCUAUCUUUAUGCUGAGGCUGGAGACGAUCUCUAGGCUUGGGGGGUGAAAUGAUGUGGAUGUUCCAUUGCAAAGGCAUGUCAUUAAGUUGUGUUGCUGGAGCUAUAUGGGACGGAAGCUUAUAAAACCCUUCUUGGUUGGGGCUUGGAUUCGGUCGACGAUGCACGUUCUUUCGGUAAUCCUUAAACUCUUCGCACCCAGCGGUGGGGGCAGCUGUUUCAUUCGGUGUUUCGGCAAUGCUUGACGGGCAUAACAUGCUUGUUGGGGGUUGUAGUUCGCUGAUUGGAAUUGUUGCUCAUUGUACGUGGUGGUGCAUGAGUCGUAUCACGAUCGUUUGGGUAGGCAGGCUCCGUGCUCGCGCAUCGAAUUGCUUCCCCGCGAUCCUUUCAGUCCUAGCCCAAGUGAAUGUUUUGUAAGUGGGCAAAUGUCGGGUUCCUGUGUUGCAUACCCAC